Chrysemys picta bellii (western painted turtle) is the source of this 123-nucleotide ribosomal RNA. Lineage: Eukaryota; Metazoa; Chordata; Testudines; Emydidae. The record is from Ensembl.
UCAUAUGACCAUACCACCCUGAACAGUCUUAAUCAUAUCUGAUCUGUGAAGCUAAGCAGGGUCAGGCCAGGCCUAUUCACCACUGGGUGGGAGACUUUGUAGGAAUACUUGGUGUGGCAAGCU